AGAGCCUAGCUACUCAGCAACUUCCUCUGCACCGGUCCUUGCCAUCUUCAGUCCCUCGAUUCUUCUCUAAGGGGUUUCCACGUCAUGUCCUCCACCCCGGAGGCCAUCCUCGAAGUGAUGUCCAGGGCUUGGAGGAAGGCGAGGAGGAGAACAGCGGCCGGUGAGUUCUCCAGUCAUCAAGUGGCCACUGAGGAUCCCCGUCGUUUUAAAGGGG
Molecule: long non-coding RNA, 214 nt
Filed under: Elaeis guineensis (African oil palm)
Lineage: Eukaryota; Viridiplantae; Streptophyta; Magnoliopsida; Arecales; Arecaceae
Description: long non-coding RNA (EGUI_LNC080969)
Source: RNAcentral